UUAGUGGCGAACGGGUGAGUAACACGUGAGUAACCUGCCCUUGACUCUGGGAUAAGCCUGGGAAACUGGGUCUAAUACCGGAUACGACCAUCUGGCGCAUGUCAUGGUGGUGGAAAGCUUUUGUGGUUUUGGAUGGACUCGCGGCCUAUCAGCUUGUUGGUGGGGUAAUGGCCUACCAAGGCGACGACGGGUAGCCGGCCUGAGAGGGUGACCGGCCACACUGGGACUGAGACACGGCCCAGACUCCUACGGGAGGCAGCAGUGGGGAAUAUUGCACAAUGGGCGCAAGCCUGAUGCAGCGACGCCGCGUGAGGGAUGACGGCCUUCGGGUUGUAAACCUCUUUCAGUAGGGAAGAAGCGAAAGUGACGGUACCUGCAGAAGAAGCGCCGGCUAACUACGUGCCAGCAGCCGCGGUAAUACGUAGGGCGCAAGCGUUAUCCGGAAUUAUUGGGCGUAAAGAGCUCGUAGGCGGUUUGUCGCGUCUGCUGUGAAAGACCGGGGCUCAACUCCGGUUCUGCAGUGGGUACGGGCAGACUAGAGUGCAGUAGGGGAGACUGGAAUUCCUGGUGUAGCGGUGAAAUGCGCAGAUAUCAGGAGGAACACCGAUGGCGAAGGCAGGUCUCUGGGCUGUAACUGACGCUGAGGAGCGAAAGCAUGGGGAGCGAACAGGAUUAGAUACCCUGGUAGUCCAUGCCGUAAACGUUGGGCACUAGGUGUGGGGGACAUUCCACGUUUUCCGCGCCGUAGCUAACGCAUUAAGUGCCCCGCCUGGGGAGUACGGCCGCAAGGCUAAAACUCAAAGGAAUUGACGGGGGCCCGCACAAGCGGCGGAGCAUGCGGAUUAAUUCGAUGCAACGCGAAGAACCUUACCAAGGCUUGACAUGAACCGGAAAGACCUGGAAACAGGUGCCCCGCUUGCGGUCGGUUUACAGGUGGUGCAUGGUUGUCGUCAGCUCGUGUCGUGAGAUGUUGGGUUAAGUCCCGCAACGAGCGCAACCCUCGUUCUAUGUUGCCAGCGCGUUAUGGCGGGGACUCAUAGGAGACUGCCGGGGUCAACUCGGAGGAAGGUGGGGACGACGUCAAAUCAUCAUGCCCCUUAUGUCUUGGGCUUCACGCAUGCUACAAUGGCCGGUACAAAGGGUUGCGAUACUGUGAGGUGGAGCUAAUCCCAAAAAGCCGGUCUCAGUUCGGAUUGGGGUCUGCAACUCGACCCCAUGAAGUCGGAGUCGCUAGUAAUCGCAGAUCA
RNAcentral lists this ribosomal RNA (1247 nucleotides) under Paenarthrobacter aurescens. Its description in RNAcentral is "bacterial SSU rRNA". It matches the Rfam family "Bacterial small subunit ribosomal RNA", at positions 92 to 1351 of the family's 1533-position model. The record is from RNAcentral. Lineage: Bacteria; Bacillati; Actinomycetota; Actinomycetes; Micrococcales; Micrococcaceae.